GCGGUUGUGGCGGAACGGCAGACGCACCAUCUUGAGGGGGUGGCGGGGAGACCCGUGUGAGUUCAAGUCUCACCAACCGCACCA
This 84-nucleotide transfer RNA is filed under the name Selenomonadales bacterium OttesenSCG-928-I06. Its description in RNAcentral is "tRNA-Leu". It matches the Rfam family "tRNA". From Rfam's summary of the family: Transfer RNA (tRNA) molecules are approximately 80 nucleotides in length. Their secondary structure includes four short double-helical elements and three loops (D, anti-codon, and T loops). Lineage: Bacteria; Bacillati; Bacillota; Negativicutes; Selenomonadales. The record is from RNAcentral.